Molecule: ribosomal RNA, 433 nt
Filed under: uncultured bacterium
Lineage: Bacteria
Description: partial 16S ribosomal RNA
Rfam family: Bacterial small subunit ribosomal RNA
Source: RNAcentral
AACGAACGCUGGCGGCAUGCCUAACACAUGCAAGUCGAACGAGACCUUCGGGUCUAGUGGCGCACGGGUGCGUAACGCGUGGGAACCUGCCUUUAGGUUCGGAAUAACUCAGAGAAAUUUGAGCUAAUACCGGAUGAUGUCUUCGGACCAAAGAUUUAUCGCCUUUAGAUGGGCCCGCGUUGGAUUAGCUAGUUGGUGGGGUAAAGGCCUACCAAGGCGACGAUCCAUAGCUGGUCUGAGAGGAUGAUCAGCCUCACUGGGACUGAGACACGGCCCAGACUCCUACGGGAGGCAGCAGUGGGGAAUAUUGGACAAUGGGCGAAAGCCUGAUCCAGCAAUGCCGCGUGAGUGAUGAAGGCCUUAGGGUUGUAAAGCUCUUUUACCCGAGAUGAUAAUGACAGUAUCGGGAGAAUAAGCUCCGGCUAACUCCGUG